RNAcentral lists this long non-coding RNA (617 nucleotides) under Lathyrus oleraceus (garden pea). RNAcentral describes it as "Pisum sativum (pea) long non-coding RNA (PSAT_LNC032436)". Lineage: Eukaryota; Viridiplantae; Streptophyta; Magnoliopsida; Fabales; Fabaceae. The record is from RNAcentral.
UUUUUCGGUUAUUGUAAUUUUAUAUAAGUUUUUUGUAACUAAUAUAUUUUUUGUACUGAUUAUUAUUAUUUAGUCUAAACAUUUAUUAACUAUUUAGUCUAAACAUUUAUUAAUUAGUAUAAAAUAUUAUUUAGUCUAAUAUUUCCAAAAAUUAUUUAUUGUAUUUUUUCUUCCAAUUAAUAAAUGUUUAGACUAAAUAAUAUUUUCUUUCAAUUAAAAAUAUUUAUUGUACUGGUAUAGUUAUGUAUUUUAUUUAAUAUUAUUUGAGAAUUUUUUUUUAUUUAUACUAAUUAAAAGAGAGAGAAAAAUAUUUUUUGUAUUUUUUCUUCCAAUUUUAUCCUUUAUCAAUUGUUACAAUUACUCAAUUAUUAAAUUAAAAAAAAACUCAUUUAUUAAUUAUGUAACCUCCAUGAACACUACAAAUAACUUCCUCCAACACAUCAACUAUACUAAAUAACUUCCUCCUACACCACUAUAUAUGAUAACUGUAUAUUUCAAAAAUAAAAAUAUUUCUUUCUUUCUCUCUCUUUCUUUCUCUCUCCACGCCAAAGUUAGGAGAAAAAUUCAUAACCAUACCAACCCCACAUUUGCCUCCUUCCUCUUUUACUAUAUCUCUC